UGUGUUAGUUGCAGCACCCCCUUAUGGACAAAAAGUCAUGACAUUUGGCUUACAUCCAAAGAACGUGGUAGUGAAUAAUUCAUUAAUUUAAGUUAUUUGGUCAUUAGGUCCAAUCACGCAGGGCUAUAGCCCCUAAUAUAGCCCUGAAUAUUUUUACCCUGAAAAUGGAGGUGUGAAUAGCAGAACGGGUAACAGAGUUGAACUUGACUUGCGAUGUCCAAGGAGAGGGGAGUAAUCAAGUGCUGCACACAAAGCUGGAGGAAGUGCACACUCAGAUGAAAAGCUCUUGUUAAAAAAAAAAAUGGGUAUUUCAAGAGGCUGGAAGAAGUGCAGACUGAAAUGAAAAUGAAAAGAAAACUCAUAAAUUAUGUAGCAUGGGUAUUAUACCAUGUAUCAAAUUAUAUUGAUGCCAAAGAAAUUACACGACUAUACAGCAACCCAAUCUAGAUAGCCAUUACACCAAUAAUAAGCCUAUGGUGAACUGACGGCCGUCUGUUGUGUAAAAAAAAAGUAAAAAGUGAAAAGUCAGGCUGGGUCAAGGUAUGCCAGGCCACUAGGAACCAGACAAACAGACACAGCUUCUGCCUGUGGUAUUAGUCUCCUUUUGUCCAUUAAUGUGCUAUUUGUUGGCAAUUCAAAUCCAUUAAUAUAGCUUAUUGCAUCAUGUGUUGAUGUGGUGUGACUCCUGUAGGCAAUCUACAGGUAUUAAAUAUGUCAAAUAAGCACAGGGUAGAUAGACAGUGAGUUGCUUCUUGCUGUGCGCGCUGCACACGUCAGGGAGUUUCAUGAUCCAUCCAUGCUCACUCUCUCACUCAGUGCAGAAUGCAGUACGAGUAAUUGUCACUUCUUCUUCAUAUUUACAUGUGGACAAAUAAAUAGUAUCUAUUUGGUGUUAAUGUGAAUCGGGUUUUUUUUUCAGACCCUUAUUUGCAUGAUUUUAAUAACUUCUGAUUAGAUGAUUAAUGCAUCUUUAUAUACUUAUGGGUUUGGACACUUAGAAAACAGGCCAAAGGCAGCAACCUUACAUUUAGCUACUUUAUAAUAAAGGUCCAGCAAAGAAUGAUUCACAUUAAAACAAAAUAAAUGUACUAUUCAUUAAUGCAGAGGUAGAAGAGGAAGAGAAAAGAAUAAAGUUGUGAUCAUUAAGUAAAAUUAUGAAUUCUCUGCAAGUAAGGGUCUAUGAUUACAUGCAAUUACAUAUAUAACUAUCUUAAUUGAUUUAUUUAUUCAUUAUUGAUAGAUCACUUCCAAUAAUGACAAGAACAGUAUUUAGUAAUACCAAUGAGCUACAUUUAUAAUUAUUACAAAAUCAUCAACAAACUAUUUGGCAAUGACAAACUAUUUGUAAAUGGCAAAAAUGCAAAUGAAAUGAAACUGUACAGUAUUUGCUCUCUUGAACCUUGAUCAAUAGGACUUAAAGAUGCAACUACAGACCUGUCAUUAACACCACUUCAUGAGACAUCACACAAUGGUAUCUAAUAUAUUUAAGGUCAUAUUAAGGAACAUUUCAGCAGUGUUAACUGUUGACUAGCUGUGAAGAUUCACGCUGGUUAAUAGUCUGGAAAUUAAGGUGAUAAAAUGUUUUUAAAAUUCUCUUGCCAAGCUUUGCUCUGUGUAUUUUCCCCACUCCCCUCCUCUUUUCCCUAUCUCAUGAUACCUUUCAUUAUAUCAAUUAUUUGUGCAUCUCGCUUAUUUAUUUCAGGGUCACGGAGAACAGUGUUGAUCUUGGCGGUGACUAGCCUGUGCAUUGUCCUGACUGGCGUGUCAGCACUCUGUCUCAUCUGGACAUGUCGUAUGUGAUGAUCAUGACAUUUCAUUCAUAGAAUAGCUCUAGGAAAAAUUUGCUUUAUGUUUUAUAGGCACCUGGUUUUGUUAUCAUCUUGAAAUUCAUUUUGAUGCAUUGUGGUCAUAUGACGGACAGGUAAAGACUCCUGUCAUUUGCACUAGUCUAGAAGCCUAGGCUAUGCACUGUGUGGUUUGAUUAACAUUGCCAACUAUAUCUCCAAAGGUCACCAGCUGGCACAUUAGCAAGCUUUUAUUGGUCAGAUGUGCUGUUGUUAGUGUUUACAAGGUUUUUGCAUGUCUCAGGAGUUUUAGACCAAAACAGAGACAGAGUAAGAUCCUAUAUGUUUUCACACUCACCUUAUGUGUAGCCUAUGUACUGGGAGGAACAUGUUAAUUUACAGACUAUUUUAUUUGUGCUUCAGAGAAUCCCCCGGACAUUAUGCCUGCACAUAGUACAAUUACAACUGUUGUAACCUACACCAUGAUCACCUCAACACCCCUGACUGUAGCUCCAGGUAAAACAAGAUUAUUUUCAUUUAUUUUCAUUUACAAAGAAGAGUUCUACUAACCUGAGGUCUGUAUUACUUGGCACAUCUUGAAGACAUCCUGAUUAAAAUUACACAGUGUAUGUUUGCAGAAGUCAGGAGUAAGUGUGGAGAAGUAUUUAAUAAGAUGCAAAAUAUGAUCAAUCCUCCAUUGAUGCUCAUUCUCAUAUGUUGUCUCUGCCACACACACACUCACACAAAACCCUCUAAAAUAUGCAGAUUUCCUCUUACAGUAUGAAGAAGCUAGUACCAUGCAUAUGACAAUUACAGUUUGACUCUGUUCAUUAAAUCUUUCAGAUGUUGACAAAAUGGAAGACAUUUUCUCUGAACAGGAUGAUGUGAGUGCACUAUGUGCAAAGUACUGUGCUAUGGAUGUAUAGCGAAAAUCAAUAGCUUUUCAUUCAGAUUAAUUUAUGGGGCCUUCAGAUAUGUUAAGCUGUGUUUAUCGCUACUGCUGUUGUUCAGUAUUGAUAUGAUGGUUGUAGUGUACCCUGUUGUGUUAUAAUCCUUAAGCAAAGUUGUUGGCUACGAGUACUUGGAUGGAUAAUGAGAGGUUUAGCUGCUGUGGGAAGUCCCCAACCAAUAGCACAAGCAAACCAGUAUAAUACAGUUACAUACAUCUUGGUGCAGGACCACAGGAGCCCUGUUGUCACACAACAGGACAUGACCUACAACCUUAUGCAGAUGCACUGAUACAGAUGCACAUACUGUGUAACUGGAUAUUAUCUAAAUAUAAACUGUUAACAAAUGAUUAUUUUAAAAUGUAUGUGGUUUCAGCAUUGGUUAACACACAGCAUUUAUUAUGAUUUAAAAUGCUUGUGUUGUGUUUAUAUAGUGUUUGUUUAUAGUAUGUGUAGUGUAUAAAGUAUAGCAUAUAUAGUGUUUUGGAUGCCUGCAUAUAAAGAAAAUAACUACAAUGACUAUGGUCUAUUGAGGGUUUAAUGGACACCUUAUCCAGUGAAAUUUCUGUUGUAUUUUAGCUACAAUGUAAAGAUUUCAGGAGGCAAGUUGAAUACCGGUUUGCGGGAUAUAGGCAGAUUUACUAACGGUAAAUACAUUCUUAAAUAAGCCACGGCCACAUAUGCAUGUCCCAAAAUUGCCCAAAAUUACUGUCUCUAUGAGUCCGUCUGCCAAUUAGUUGAGUAUUUUCAUCAAAUGUUACAUCAUUAGGCUAGUUAUUAUUGUUAGACUUUUAGAUAAGAAAUGUAAACUUUGGAAUGUAUUAUUUAUUUAGAAAUCCAGAUAAUGUUGCUUGGUUCUCUGUAUGUCUUAAUAAAAUGAAAUAAAAUAAAAAAAAUAAAAUCUGAAUAAAAUGGUUAUUUAAAGUGGUACUGUAAGUGUGCCGCCUCCGUCUGAAUGAACAAAAGCC
Molecule: long non-coding RNA, 3699 nt
Organism: Clupea harengus (Atlantic herring)
Lineage: Eukaryota; Metazoa; Chordata; Actinopteri; Clupeiformes; Clupeidae
Source: Ensembl